AUGCGAGACCAGGAAAUACAGUCGGCCUGGCUUCCGCCACGGGAGCACGACGUCAAGAUGAACGUUGAUGGUGGCCUCUCCAAAAUUGGAGAUCGUGGCGCUUCGGCGGUGAUAUGCAGGGAUAGGCAGGGCCUGUUCCUUGGUGCCUCCGCAGUUAUCUUCGAAGGGUUGCUUGAUCCAACUAUACUAGAAGCCCAGGCGUGUAACGAAGCUCUUGCUCUUGCUGCGGAUCUUCAUGUUCACUCCGUGUGUGUUGCAUCGGACUGCCUCGAGGAGAUCAAGCAUAGAAGACGCUCUAUCCAAGACAUUCAGUUUGUGCAUGAGAAUAGGAAACAUAAUGAGGAAGCCCAUGCCUUAGCUAAGGCGGCUGCUUCUCUCCCACCCGGGCGCCACGUGUGGCUUACUGAUUUGCCCGACAUCAUUUGUAUCCCUAUGUUUUUGAACGUUGAAUAA
RNAcentral lists this ribosomal RNA (453 nucleotides) under Triticum aestivum (bread wheat). RNAcentral describes it as "partial small subunit ribosomal RNA". The record is from RNAcentral. Lineage: Eukaryota; Viridiplantae; Streptophyta; Magnoliopsida; Poales; Poaceae.